AGAGUUUGAUCCUGGCUCAGGACGAACGCUGGCGGCGUGCUUAACACAUGCAAGUCGAACGGGAAGACAUUUCUAACACCGAGUUACUAAAAUGAUGCUUUAUAUAAGUGAUUGAUACUUUGGUGGUUCGGUGUUAGAAAUGGAUUCUAGUGGCAAACGGGUGAGUAACGCGUAGGCAACCUGCCCUUCAGAUGGGGACAACAUUUCGAAAGGAAUGCUAAUACCGAAUGACGUGCAUUGGUCGCAUGACCGAUGUACCAAAGGCCGGGCAACCGGUCACUGAAGGAUGGGCCUGCGUCUGAUUAGCUAGUUGGUGGGGUAACGGCUCACCAAGGCGACGAUCAGUAGCCGGUCUGAGAGGAUGAACGGCCACAUUGGGACUGAGACACGGCCCAAACUCCUACGGGAGGCAGCAGUGGGGAAUCUUCCGCAAUGGGCGCAAGCCUGACGGAGCAACGCCGCGUGAGUGAAGAAGGUUUUCGGAUCGUAAAGCUCUGUUGUCAGGGAUGAGAGACUUGAUCAGGAAAUGGGUCAAGGAGGACGGUACCUGACGAGAAAGCCACGGCUAACUACGUGCCAGCAGCCGCGGUAAUACGUAGGUGGCGAAGCGUUGUCCGGAUUAUUGGGCGUAAAGGGAGCGCAGGUGGGAUUGUAAGUCAGUCUUAAAAGUUCGGGGCUCAACCCCGUGAUGGGAUUGAAACUAUAAUUCUUGAGUGCAGGAGAGGAAAGCGGAAUUCCUAGUGUAGCGGUGAAAUGCGUAGAUAUUAGGAGGAACACCAGUGGCGAAGGCGGCUUUCUGGACUGUAACUGACACUGAGGCUCGAAAGCGUGGGGAGCGAACAGGAUUAGAUACCCUGGUAGUCCACGCCGUAAACGAUGAAUGCUAGGUGUAGGAGGUAUCGACCCCUUCUGUGCCGGAGUUAACGCAAUAAGCAUUCCGCCUGGGGAGUACGGUCGCAAGACUGAAACUCAAAGGAAUUGACGGGGGUCCGCACAAGCGGUGGAGUAUGUGGUUUAAUUCGACGCAACGCGAAGAACCUUACCAGGUCUUGACAUUGAGUGAAAGACAUAGAGAUAUGUCCCUUCUUCGGAACACGAAAACAGGUGGUGCAUGGCUGUCGUCAGCUCGUGUCGUGAGAUGUUGGGUUAAGUCCCGCAACGAGCGCAACCCCUGUCCUGUGUUGCCAGCACUUUAGGUGGGAACUCACAGGAGACUGCCGCGGAGAACGCGGAGGAAGGCGGGGAUGACGUCAAGUCAUCAUGCCCCUUAUGACCUGGGCUACACACGUACUACAAUGGGGCGUACAGAGGGCAGCGAAGGAGCGAUCCGGAGCGAAUCCCAAAAAACGCCUCCCAGUUCGGAUUGCAGGCUGAAACCCGCCUGCAUGAAGUCGGAAUCGCUAGUAAUCGCAGGUCAGCAUACUGCGGUGAAUACGUUCCCGGGCCUUGUACACACCGCCCGUCACACCACGGAAGUCAUUCACACCCGAAGCCGGUGGGCUAACCUUAUGGAAGCAGCCGUCUAAGGUGGGGGCGAUGACUGGGGUGAAGUCGUAACAAGGUAGCCGUAUCGGAAGGUGCGGCUGGAUCACCUCCUU
This 1598-nucleotide ribosomal RNA is filed under the name uncultured Veillonellaceae bacterium. RNAcentral's name for it is "bacterial SSU rRNA". It matches the Rfam family "Bacterial small subunit ribosomal RNA". Lineage: Bacteria; Bacillati; Bacillota; Negativicutes; Veillonellales; Veillonellaceae. The record is from RNAcentral.